CGCCUGUUUAUCAAAAACAUCUUUUCUCGUUAGUUUUUGAAGUAUGGCCUGCCCACUGACCUUGAAUGUUGAAGGGCCGCGGUAUUUUGACCGUGCAAAGGUAGCAUAGUCAUUAGUUCUUUAAUUGUGAUCUGGUAUGAAUGGCUUGACGAGGCAUGAGCUGUCUUAAUUUUGAAUUGUUUAUUGAAUUUGGUCUUUGAGUUAAAAUUCUUAGAUGUUUUUAUGGGACGAGAAGACCCUAUAGAGUUUAACAUUUAUUAUGGUCUCUUUCUGUUUGUGAGGGUUCAUUAGGGCUGUUUAAUAUGUUUUGUUGGGGUGAUGGGAGGGAUAUUAUUUAACCCCUCCUUUUUGUUGUUAUAUUUAUUUAUAUUUGCUUGAUCCAUUUAUUUUGAUUGUAAGAUUAAAUUACCUUAGGGAUAACAGCGUAA
This 428-nucleotide ribosomal RNA is filed under the name Reticulitermes flavipes (eastern subterranean termite). Its description in RNAcentral is "partial 16S ribosomal RNA". The stretch from base 1 to 214 matches the Rfam family "Archaeal large subunit ribosomal RNA", at positions 1889 to 2143 of the family's 2987-position model. Lineage: Eukaryota; Metazoa; Arthropoda; Insecta; Blattodea; Rhinotermitidae. The record is from RNAcentral.